This 250-nucleotide ribosomal RNA is filed under the name uncultured bacterium. RNAcentral's name for it is "partial 16S ribosomal RNA". It matches the Rfam family "Bacterial small subunit ribosomal RNA", at positions 524 to 773 of the family's 1533-position model. The record is from RNAcentral.
UACGUAGGGGGCAAGCGUUAUCCGGAUUUACUGGGUGUAAAGGGAGCGUAGGUGGUGUGGUAAGUCAGAUGUGAAAGCCCGGGGCUCAACCCCGGGAUUGCAUUUGAAACUGCCAUGCUUGAGUGCAGGAGAGGUAAGUGGAAUUCCUAGUGUAGCGGUGAAAUGCGUAGAUAUUAGGAGGAACACCAGUGGCGAAGGCGGCUUACUGGACUGUAACUGACACUGAGGCUCGAAAGCGUGGGGAGCAAAC